UGGGUGAUCUGCCCUGCACUUUGGGAUAAGCCUGGGAAACUGGGUCUAAUACCGAAUACACCCUGCUGGUCGCAUGGCCUGGUGGGGGAAAGCUUUUGCGGUGUGGGAUGGGCCCGCGGCCUAUCAGCUUGUUGGUGAGGUUACGGCUCACCAAGGCGACGACGGGUAGCCGGCCUGAGAGGGUGACCGGCCACACUGGGACUGAGAUACGGCCCAGACUCCUACGGGAGGCA
Molecule: ribosomal RNA, 233 nt
Filed under: uncultured bacterium
Lineage: Bacteria
Description: partial 16S ribosomal RNA
Rfam family: Bacterial small subunit ribosomal RNA
Source: RNAcentral